GUGAGCCGAGAUUGCACCACUGCACUCCAGCCUGGGCGACAGAGCGAGACCCUGUCUCAAACAACAACAACAAAAAGGCGUUAGAACCCUGUGGCUUCCAAUGUCCAUUGCAGGAGCUGUGGCCGCCAUGUUCUUCUGGCAUAGCUGGUUACCUUGGCCACAUACCUGAUAACCACCCACUGACAAACAGAUGAAUUGCUCUGCCAUGGCUCAGAAGCAGACACUCAGACAGGAACUUUUCUUUUUUCUUUCAUGGAACUUUACCUGUAGACCCUUUUGUUUCGCCCCAAACCAUCAGGAUAACUGAAAGCCACUCCAACAUGUUGAUUGGGGUAGCCGAGGAAUGAUGCAGACCAGAGCAUCAGAGUAGGUGACAGGCAUUUGACAGUGGACACCCAAAAAAGCACUACUUACAAUAGCAAAAACUUAGAACCAAUCCAAAUGUCCAACAAUAGUAGACUGGAUUAAGAAAAUGUGGCACAUAUACACCAUGGAAUACUAUGCAGCCAUAAAAAAUGAUGAGUUCAUGUCCUUUGUAGGGACAUGGAUGAAGCUGGAAACCAUCAUUCUCAGCAAACUAUCGCAAGGACAAAAAAACCAAACACCGCAUGUUCUCACUCAUAGGGUAUGUUUGCAGGUUUGUUACAUGGGUAUAUUGCAAGAUGCCGAGGUUCGAGGUAGGAAAGAUCCCAACAACCAGUUUCAAGGGCCCUAGCCUCAGAAAACUGCAUCAAUGUCUUCUGAACGGCCAUCAAGCUCAAAGCCCUGCUCGUUUCUUCAGGAAAGCUUAUUAACAAAUACAUUCAGCACAGCUUGCAGGAAGCAGCAAGUUUCAUGUAGAGUACCACGGCGUCAUCAUGCAAGUGUCUGUCUGAGCAUGGCCAGUAAGAGAACUGGUGGUUUCGGUCCAUGAAAGAGCUGGGGUUCCUGGAAGUUUUUGGAAUGCCUGGCCACGACAUUGGUUGGAGUCUGACUGGGCCCCAUGCAGAAAAUGCCACACUCUGCUGAGCUGACAUCUUUGUGUUCUGCUAGGAGGCCCAGGAAUUCAUAAAAGAAAAGAACUAAGGCACUUGAAAAUUUCGAAGGUAAAACUGUCACCCGUGCAAAUCAAAUCAAAAUUAAUAAUGUUUUUCUGACUCAAUGCAAAAGGCGAAAACACCAAUUUAGUUGUUGCUGCGGCUGCUUUUCAUGCAGUGCUUUAGAGUUACAGAUCCCACAUGUGGUUGAAAACCGGUUACUUUCCUGUUGGCUUAAACUCAAAGGCAUUUGUAUGUGUGCUAAAAACAUUUCUUACUAUGCACUGUGUUGGAA
Long non-coding RNA from Homo sapiens (human), 1311 nucleotides. Lineage: Eukaryota; Metazoa; Chordata; Mammalia; Primates; Hominidae. The record is from Ensembl.